This 388-nucleotide ribosomal RNA is filed under the name uncultured Anaerolineaceae bacterium. RNAcentral's name for it is "bacterial SSU rRNA". It matches the Rfam family "Bacterial small subunit ribosomal RNA", at positions 992 to 1382 of the family's 1533-position model. Lineage: Bacteria; Bacillati; Chloroflexota; Anaerolineae; Anaerolineales; Anaerolineaceae. The record is from RNAcentral.
GGAACUUGCCAGAGAUGGCUUGGUGCCCGAAAGGGAAUCGGAACACAGGUGCUGCAUGGCUGUCGUCAGCUCGUGUCGUGAGAUGUUGGGUUAAGUCCCGCAACGAGCGCAACCCUUAUCAUUAGUUGCUACGCAAGGGCACUCUAAUGAGACUGCCGGUGACAAACCGGAGGAAGGUGGGGAUGACGUCAAGUCAGCAUGGCCUUUAUAUCCUGGGCUACACACACGCUACAAUGGGAAGGGACAAUAGGUUGCGAAGCCGCGAGGCGGAGCCAAUCCAGCAAAACUUCCCUCAGUUCAGAUUGCAGGCUGCAACUCGCCUGCAUGAAGUUGGAGUUGCUAGUAAACGCAGGUCAGCCAUACUGCGUUGAAUACGUUCCCGGGGCUU